UCGAGAAUUUUUCUCAAUGGGGGAAACCCUGAAGGAGCGACGCCGCGUGAAGGAUGAAGGUCUUCGGAUUGUAAACUUCUGUCAUUUGAGAACAAACUGCACGGGUUAACUGCCUGUGCACUGAUAGUAUCAGAAGAGGAAGAGACGGCUAACUCUGUGCCAGCAGCCGCGGUAAUACAGAGGUCUCGAGCGUUGUUCGGAUUCAUUGGGCGUAAAGGGUGCGUAGGUGGCGUGGUAAGUCGGAUGUGAAAUCCCGGAGCUCAACUCCGGAACUGCAUUCGAUACUGCUAUGCUAGAGUACUGGAGAGGAGAUCGGAAUUUACGGUGUAGCAGUGAAAUGCGUAGAUAUCGUAAGGAAGACCAGUGGCGAAGGCGGAUCCCUGGACAGUUACUGACACUGAGGCACGAAGGCCAGGGGAGCAAACGGG
This 428-nucleotide ribosomal RNA is filed under the name uncultured bacterium. Its description in RNAcentral is "bacterial SSU rRNA". It matches the Rfam family "Bacterial small subunit ribosomal RNA", at positions 355 to 776 of the family's 1533-position model. The record is from RNAcentral.